This 556-nucleotide ribosomal RNA is filed under the name uncultured bacterium. RNAcentral describes it as "bacterial SSU rRNA". It matches the Rfam family "Bacterial small subunit ribosomal RNA", at positions 119 to 674 of the family's 1533-position model. The record is from RNAcentral.
GAGUUACAUGCCCUACAGUGGGGAAUAGCCCAGGGAAACUUGGAUUAAUACCCCAUGGUAUCGCAAGAUUAAAGGUGGCCGCAAGGCUGUCGCUGAAGGAUUGGUUCGCGCCCUAUCAGCUUGUUGGUGAGGUAACGGCUCACCAAGGCUACGACGGGUACCUGGUCUGAGAGGACGAUCAGGCACACUGGAACUGAGACACGGUCCAGACACCUACGGGUGGCAGCAGUCGAGAAUAAUUCACAAUGGGGGCAACCCUGAUGGUGCAACGCCGCGUGGAGGAUGAAGGUCUUCGGAUUGUAAACUCCUGUCAUCUGGGAGUAAGACCUGGCUGUGAAUAGCAGACAGGGUUGAUAGUACCAGAAGAGGAAGGGACGGCUAACUUCGUGCCAGCAGCCGCGGUAAUACGAAGGUCCCGAGCGUUGUUCGGAAUCACUGGGCGUAAAGGGAGCGUAGGCGGCGUGGUAAGUCAGAUGUGAAAUCCCGGGGCUCAACCCCGGAACUGCAUCCGAUACUGCCGUGCUAGAGGAUUGGAGAGGUAGCUGGAAUUCUUGGU